This 424-nucleotide ribosomal RNA is filed under the name uncultured bacterium. Its description in RNAcentral is "bacterial SSU rRNA". It matches the Rfam family "Bacterial small subunit ribosomal RNA", at positions 356 to 773 of the family's 1533-position model. The record is from RNAcentral.
GGGGAAUCUUGCGCAAUGGGCGAAAGCCUGACGCAGCAACGCCGCGUGCGGGAAGAAGGCCUUCGGGUUGUAAACCGCUUUCAGCAGGGACGAAGGCGAGCGGGUUAAUAGCCCGUCAGUUGACUGUACCUGCAGACGAAGGUCCGGCUAACUACGUGCCAGCAGCCGCGGUAAUACGUAGGGACCGAGCGUUGUCCGGAAUCAUUGGGCGUAAAGAGCGUGUAGGCGGCUAUUUAAGUCCUGCGUGAAAUCCUGCGGCUCAACCGCAGACGGUCGUGGGAAACUGGAUGGCUAGAGUGCGGGAGAGGAGAGUGGAAUUCCCGGUGUAGCGGUGAAAUGCGCAGAUAUCGGGAAGAACACCCGUGGCGAAGGCGGCUCUCUGGAACGCAACUGACGCUGAGACGCGAAAGCGUGGGGAGCAAAC